GCUUCAGGUGUUUGUUUGACAACAAGGAGCGCGUGAUGACAGACACCAAAACAAAACACGUGCAGUUUGAUUUAAAUACACAAUUUACAGAUGACAGCUUAGCGACAGACUCUUAAUGUGUUUAAACAGCACAUAUUCCAGCUCAACAGCAAAUUAAACCUGCGGAAUCUGCGAUAAAGAGGAGGAAUGGAGUGAAGAGACUCACCUAAUGAAGGUUGUGUUUGGACUGUACAGCCAACAGAAUCAGAGCUCUGGACAUUUGACAGCCAUGGACUGUAAGGAUGGACAUCUGCUGCUGGACAGGCAAAAGCGAAACGACUGCUGGUCAUGAUUCUGGAGGUCAGCGGAGACGCCAUGAUUCCCCACACCUUCUCACUCACUGUUCAACUGUUAUGUUCCCUGUUGUUACACACAAAAACAACUGUUCAAGUUACAGGUCCAGCAUGCUGAGUUGGGUCUUGAAUCACCUGGACUCCAACAAAACCUCAUCUUCAUUUACCCAGCAGAGCCACCAUGGCUUUCACAAUGAGUGUGUUGGAGACACUUUGAUGGAUGCUGAUGAUGGAGCUCAUGAGUUAUUAUAGUGUUUCAUUUUUAAAUUGGUUUCA
Long non-coding RNA from Danio aesculapii, 608 nucleotides. RefSeq lists it as uncharacterized. NCBI's taxonomy places the organism in Eukaryota, Metazoa, Chordata, Actinopteri, Cypriniformes, Danionidae. The record is from RefSeq and is a predicted model, not a curated record. The transcript has 3 exons.